This is a long non-coding RNA of Cyanistes caeruleus (blue tit), 556 nucleotides long. RefSeq lists it as uncharacterized. NCBI's taxonomy places the organism in Eukaryota, Metazoa, Chordata, Aves, Passeriformes, Paridae. The record is from RefSeq and is a predicted model, not a curated record.
CUCAGGGUUCAGUAUUAGGGCCAGACCUAUUUAACGUCUUCAUCAAUUGUCUGCACAAGAGGAUCAAGCGCACCACCAGUCAAUUUGCAGGAUGGUUAAUCUCAGCUGCUGAAGUUCAUCAGCCUCUGCUAGUGUUUACCCAUCAUCUGGACUUGCCACUUCCGAACUUUCCAGACUAGAAGUGAAUAAGCCCGCUGUCACACUCACCCUGCCAACAUAGCCUGAAGCCUGGAAGCCUAAAUGUCUGAAUCCCAGAAAGGCAGCACAAAAGCUAAUACAGCUGGGGGCAGGAGAGAUUGGUGGUAUAUGAAAGUCACAGCUGGUUCAAACACUCAUCUCCUGAAGAACAUUUAUGCUGAAAGGAAACUACACAUUAGAAUUUGAUACUCCUGUCUUUUGAAGAAGUCUAGCUUGAACAAGUAUGGAAAUGGACUUUAAAAUUUUUUUAGAUCAUCCAAAUCAGCCCCCUGAGAACAACAACAACAAAGAAUGUCAUAUUUGGAGAAACUAUCUCUACAAAACAUUUUUUUUCUGAAAAUAUAUUAAUAUAUCAUUC